AGGACGAACGCUGGCGGCGUGCUUAACACAUGCAAGUCGAGCGGUAAGGCCUUUCGGGGUACACGAGCGGCGAACGGAUGAGUAACACGUGGGUGAUCUGCCCUGCACUUCGGGAUAAGCCUGGGAAACUGGGUCUAAUACCGGAUAUGACCUCCUAUCGCAUGGUGGGUGGUGGAAAGAUUUAUCGGUGCAGGAUGGGCCCGCGGCCUAUCAGCUUGUUGGUGGGGUAAUGGCCUACCAAGGCGACGACGGGUAGCCGACCUGAGAGGGUGACCGGCCACACUGGGACUGAGACACGGCCCAGACUCCUACGGGAGGCAGCAGUGGGGAAUAUUGCACAAUGGGCGAAAGCCUGAUGCAGCGACGCCGCGUGAGGAUGACGGCCUCGGGUUGUAACUCUUCAGCAGGACGAAGCGCAAGUGACGGUACCUGCAGAAGAAGCACGCCUAACUACGUGCCAGCAGCCGC
RNAcentral lists this ribosomal RNA (468 nucleotides) under uncultured soil bacterium. Its description in RNAcentral is "bacterial SSU rRNA". It matches the Rfam family "Bacterial small subunit ribosomal RNA", at positions 26 to 518 of the family's 1533-position model. The record is from RNAcentral.